UCGUAACAAGGUUUCCGUAGGUGAACCUGCGGAAGGAUCAUUACCGAGUGCGGGCUGCCUCCGGGCGCCCAACCUCCCACCCUUGACUACCUAACACUGUUGCUUCGGCGGGGAGCCCUCUCGGGGGCGAGCCGCCGGGGACUACUGAACUUCAUGCCUGAGAGUGAUGCAGUCUGAGUCUGAAUAUAAAAUCAGUCAAAACUUUCAACAAUGGAUCUCUUGGUUCCGGCAUCGAUGAAGAACGCAGCGAACUGCGAUAAGUAAUGUGAAUUGCAGAAUUCAGUGAAUCAUCGAGUCUUUGAACGCACAUUGCGCCCCCUGGCAUUCCGGGGGGCAUGCCUGUCCGAGCGUCAUUGCUGCCCAUCAAGCCCGGCUUGUGUGUUGGGUCGUCGUCCCCCCCGGGGGACGGGCCCGAAAGGCAGCGGCGGCACCGUGUCCGGUCCUCGAGCGUAUGGGGCUUUGUCACCCGCUCGAUUAGGGCCGGCCGGGCGCCAGCCGACGUCUCCAACCAUUUUUUUCAGGUUGACCUCGGAUCAGGUAGGGAUACCCGCUGAACUUAAGCAUAUCAAUAA
This 572-nucleotide unclassified non-coding RNA is filed under the name Aspergillus creber. RNAcentral describes it as "sequence contains 18S rRNA gene, ITS1, 5.8S rRNA gene, ITS2, 28S rRNA gene". The stretch from base 200 to 353 matches the Rfam family "5.8S ribosomal RNA". Lineage: Eukaryota; Fungi; Ascomycota; Eurotiomycetes; Eurotiales; Aspergillaceae. The record is from RNAcentral.